RNAcentral lists this ribosomal RNA (875 nucleotides) under uncultured Nitrososphaerota archaeon. RNAcentral describes it as "bacterial SSU rRNA". It matches the Rfam family "Archaeal small subunit ribosomal RNA", at positions 21 to 903 of the family's 1478-position model. The record is from RNAcentral. Lineage: Archaea; Thermoproteati; Nitrososphaerota.
CCUGACUGCUAUCGGAUUGAUACUAAGCCAUGCGAGUCAUUGUAGUAAUACAAGGCAGACGGCUCAGUAACGCGUAGUCAACCUAACCUAUGGACGGGAAUAACCUCGGGAAACUGAGAAUAAUGCCCGAUAGAACAUUAUGCCUGGAAUGGUUUAUGUUCCAAACGAUUUAUCGCCAUAGGAUGGGACUGCGGCCUAUCAGUUUGUUGGUGAGGUAAUGGCCCACCAAGACUAUUACAGGUACGGGCUCUGAGAGGAGUAGCCCGGAGAUGGGUACUGAGACACGGACCCAGGCCCUAUGGGGCGCAGCAGGCGAGAAAACUUUGCAAUGUGCGAAAGCACGNCAAGGUUAAUCCGAGUGGUUUCUGCUAAAGGAACCUUUUGUCAGUCCUAAAAACACUAACGAAUAAGGGGUGGGCAAGUUCUGGUGUCAGCCGCCGCGGUAAAACCAGCACCUCAAGUGGUCAGGAUGAUUAUUGGGCCUAAAGCAUCCGUAGCCGGCUCUGUAAGUUUUCGGUUAAAUCUGUACGCUCAACGUACAGGCUGCCGGAAAUACUGCACAGCUAGGGAGUGGGAGAGGUAGACGGUACUCGGUAGGAAGGGGUAAAAUCCUUUGAUCUAUUGAUGACCACCUGUGGCGAAGGCGGUCUACCAGAACACGUCCGACGGUGAGGGAUGAAAGCUGGGGGAGCAAACCGGAUUAGAUACCCGGGUAGUCCCAGCUGUAAACUAUGCAAACUCAGUGAUCCAUUGGCUUAUGGCCAAUGCAGUGCUGCAGGGAAGCCGUUAAGUUUGCCGCCUGGGAAGUACGUACGCAAGUAUGAAACUUAAAGGAAUUGGCGGGGGAGCACCACAAGGGGUGAAGCCUGCGGUUC